GGAAUAUAAAAUUUUAAAACUAUCUCAAACCACUGAUUUGGUGGUUUGAAAACCUGUGGUGAAAUGAUGGUAAUAAAACCAUCAUUUUACAAUCCAGAACUAGCAAUCUUUAGGAACAAUCUAAACAAACAAGGAGUAUAAUCAUACCAUUCAAUAUAAAACCAUAGUAAAUCAUCAUCAAACACGGGGUUAGUGUCAGCAUACGCUCUAGUCAUUUUAGUGUUACUUUCCUGUUCAGCACUUUGAACCUUGGACCAUUUGCUUGGUUUUUUAAUGUAGAACGAAUUUCUAUUUUACAAUAGGAGUGCCAAUGGUUGCCAAAAUUGCUUUGGAAAGUGAGAUUUGAAAUUGGAAUGUAUAUUUUCCAAUAUUUGGUUUGUAUGGAAAAGUUGUAUUCUGGGGUGUUUACGUUCUUGCACUUUGGGUGGGGUGCCACCAUAAUUUUCCCAUCCUAGAGGGUGGAAGUUACAUUUCCAGAUAAAUAAAAUCAUAGAGUAUUGACAUCCCUGCCCUUAAAUAUUAUAAUAUUUAGACCAAAUAUAAUGUAUUUAGUUAUAUUCAGAAUAUUAUGGAAUUUUAUUUCACUUUUUUUGCACUUCUAUAAACUAACCAAAUACAAUAUUCGUGGAUUCCAAUAAAACUUAUUUUUCUAACCAAGAAUAUAAUGUAUAUUGCCA
This 677-nucleotide unclassified non-coding RNA is filed under the name Hevea brasiliensis (rubber tree). The record is from RNAcentral. Lineage: Eukaryota; Viridiplantae; Streptophyta; Magnoliopsida; Malpighiales; Euphorbiaceae.